UUACUCAAUUUCAACCUAGCAGAUGUCAACUCUCUUAUCCUUGAGGCUUCUAUUUGCCCUUGCAAAGAAGCUAUCUUGCUUAACAUGUAUUAUAUUUGAGCCUCCAUCUAGGAUUGCUAUGCCAUAUCUUCAACCCUUUAUAAUUUCUUUAUCCAAACUCCAAAUUCAUCAAAUAAUACAUCAAAAGUGUAGUAAAAAAAGUGCUCUUUCUAACCCUAGUUGUUGAUCUUUUGUUUCUCUUUGUAAACGUAUGUUAUGUCCCAAAGAGAGACAAUAGAUAUGAAAUUGACACCUUAACUUUGAGCACCAAUAAUUCCUUCAUAAAAACUCCAAAUCACACAAAAUUUGCACCCAAUCCAUAUCCAAAAACCUAAACUUGAUAAUUCUAGCCUCCAAAGUUCAAAUGACUUUGAAAAUAAAACCCUAAUCCCUAAUAUGGCCU
This 442-nucleotide long non-coding RNA is filed under the name Physcomitrium patens. Its description in RNAcentral is "long non-coding RNA (PPAT_LNC007715)". The record is from RNAcentral. Lineage: Eukaryota; Viridiplantae; Streptophyta; Bryopsida; Funariales; Funariaceae.